AGUGUUGAUGCUGGGUUCAAGGUAAUUAUUUGGAGGUCUAUUUGGCUGAAAUUGAUGAAUGUCUCCUUGAAAUAUGAGCAGAAUUUUACUUUAUUUCUAUUUUGGUUCAGAGCAAGAUUGAUAAGAUUUUGAAACUUGAAAACUAUUUCUGUUGUUUCCCUAGUGAAAUAAAAUAUUAAUUAUUGUAGGCUCGAUUUUCUUUUGCUUGAG
Molecule: unclassified non-coding RNA, 210 nt
Filed under: Hevea brasiliensis (rubber tree)
Lineage: Eukaryota; Viridiplantae; Streptophyta; Magnoliopsida; Malpighiales; Euphorbiaceae
Source: RNAcentral